Pyrococcus furiosus DSM 3638 is the source of this 58-nucleotide small nucleolar RNA. It matches the Rfam family "Pyrococcus C/D box small nucleolar RNA". From Rfam's summary of the family: Computational screens have identified C/D box snoRNAs in a number of archaeal genomes. This family represents several related snoRNAs from Pyrococcus. Lineage: Archaea; Methanobacteriati; Methanobacteriota; Thermococci; Thermococcales; Thermococcaceae. The record is from Rfam.
UCUGAUGAUGAUCCUUCCCCUCAACUGAGAGGUGAUGAGCACACCGGUAGGCUGAGGU